AAGUGCAACGCGAACGUUCCUAGUAACGGGAGGAGUUACGCGAAGCAGGAAUAUGGCCAUUGCUUCCACGCAGCACAUCCCGAAGGCAGAAAACACUACAACAGAGUCAGCCUCCUGGCCUGUUGACUUUAUCCUGGGACCAGCAGUGGCACCAAAAAACAUUUAGGGAGGGGUCAAAGAAUCACAACAUCUGAGAGCAGGAAGGGGCCUCAAGCCAUCUAGCCCGGCACAGUCACCCUGAUGUCAACCGGAGAAGCGAGAAAUGGGAAACAGAGCAGCCCAGUUUGCCAUAAUAAAGCCAUUCUGGGACUCUCAA
Molecule: long non-coding RNA, 316 nt
Organism: Suricata suricatta (meerkat)
Lineage: Eukaryota; Metazoa; Chordata; Mammalia; Carnivora; Herpestidae
Exons: 2
Source: RefSeq, a predicted model, not a curated record